This 237-nucleotide ribosomal RNA is filed under the name Blackburnia longipes. RNAcentral describes it as "partial 28S ribosomal RNA". Lineage: Eukaryota; Metazoa; Arthropoda; Insecta; Coleoptera; Carabidae. The record is from RNAcentral.
GAUGGUUCGAUUAGUCUUUCGCCCCUAUACCCAGUUCAUACGAUCGAUUUGCACGUCAGAAUCGCUACGGACCUCCAUCAGGGUUUCCCCUGACUUCAUCCUGACCAGGCAUAGUUCACCAUCUUUCGGGUCCCAGCGUGUACGCUCUUGGUGCGCCACAACUUGCAAUAAGUAUGCAACGCCCCGGGAAUGCGAGGUAACAUAAAUAACGUAACCCAUCUUCCCUUUAUAAAAAUG